RNAcentral lists this ribosomal RNA (502 nucleotides) under uncultured Acaulospora. RNAcentral describes it as "LSU rRNA". It matches the Rfam family "Eukaryotic large subunit ribosomal RNA", at positions 222 to 641 of the family's 3401-position model. The record is from RNAcentral. Lineage: Eukaryota; Fungi; Glomeromycota; Glomeromycetes; Diversisporales; Acaulosporaceae.
UUUAUGAUUAGAUCUCGAGUGUCAUUCAAUUCACCUUCCAAGAGUCGAGUUGUUUGGGAUUGCAGCUCAAAACGGGUGGUAAAUUUCACCUAAGGCUAAAUAUAUGCAAGAGACCGAUAGCGAACAAGUACCGUGAGGGAAAGAUGAAAAGAACUUUGAAAAGAGAGUUAAAUAGUACGUGAAAUUGUUGAAAGGGAAACGAUUGAAGUCAGUCAUGCUAGUGGGGAAUCAACUUGAUGGUGCGUGGGUUCGCUCGCGUACUUUCGUGUGCACUUCCUCACUCGGCAGGUUAGCAUCAAUUUCGGUUAUCAUAAAAAAUUUGAGGGAAUGUGGCUUUUCUUCGGAAAAGUGUUAUAGACCUUGACCUAUGUGGUGACCGGGAUUGAGGAUUGCAGCGGAUACCCUUGUGGCUGGUCACCCGGCUUCUGACGGUUGCCCCGCUUUCGAUAGCUCGCUAACGUUAGUGGGAUUCGAUUGUCUAGAUGUUGGAGUGAUUCAUUUU